UGCAAGUCGAGCGGUAAGGCCCUUCGGGGUACACGAGCGGCGAACGGGUGAGUAACACGUGAGCAACCUGCCCCUGACUCUGGGAUAAGCGGUGGAAACGCCGUCUAAUACCGGAUACGACCUGUCGUCUCAUGACGGUGGGUGGAAAGUUUUUCGGUCAGGGAUGGGCUCGCGGCCUAUCAGCUUGUUGGUGGGGUAACGGCCUACCAAGGCGAUUACGGGUAGCCGGCCUGAGAGGGCGACCGGCCACACUGGGACUGAGACACGGCCCAGACUCCUGCGGGAGGCAGCAGUGGGGAAUAUUGCGCAAUGGGCGAAAGCCUGACGCAGCGACGCCGCGUGGGGGAUGACGGCCUUCGGGUUGUAAACCUCUUUUACCACCAACGCAGGCUUCCGGUUUUCCGGGGGUUGACGGUAGGUGGGGAAUAAGGACCGGCUAACUACGUGCCAGCAGCCGCGGUAAUACGUAGGGUCCGAGCGUUGUCCGGAAUUAUUGGGCGUAAAGAGCUCGUAGGCGGCGUGUCGCGUCUGCUGUGAAAGACCGGGGCUUAACUCCGGUUCUGCAGUGGAUACGGGCAUGCUAGAGGUAGGUAGGGGAGACUGGAAUUCCUGGUGUAGCGGUGAAAUGCGCAGAUAUCAGGAGGAACACCGGUGGCGAAGGCGGGUCUCUGGGCCUUACCUGACGCUGAGGAGCGAAAGCAUGGGGAGCGAACAGGAUUAGAUACCCUGGUAGUCCAUGCCGUAAACGUUGGGCGCUAGGUGUGGGGACUUUCCACGGUUUCCGCGCCGUAGCUAACGCAUUAAGCG
This 807-nucleotide ribosomal RNA is filed under the name Nocardiopsis sp. qm12. RNAcentral describes it as "bacterial SSU rRNA". It matches the Rfam family "Bacterial small subunit ribosomal RNA", at positions 56 to 866 of the family's 1533-position model. RNAcentral also lists the same sequence under 1 other name. The record is from RNAcentral. Lineage: Bacteria; Bacillati; Actinomycetota; Actinomycetes; Streptosporangiales; Nocardiopsidaceae.